AUUGAACGCUGGCGGCAUGCUUUACACAUGCAAGUCGAACGGUAACAGGCCGCAAGGUGCUGACGAGUGGCGAACGGGUGAGUAAUGCAUCGGAACGUGCCCAGUCGUGGGGGAUAACUACUCGAAAGAGUAGCUAAUACCGCAUACGAUCUAUGGAUGAAAGCGGGGGACCGUAAGGCCUCGCGCGAUUGGAGCGGCCGAUGUCAGAUUAGGUAGUUGGUGGGGUAAAGGCUCACCAAGCCAACGAUCUGUAGCUGGUCUGAGAGGACGACCAGCCACACUGGGACUGGGACACGGCCCAGACUCCUACGGGAGGAGGCAGUGGGGAAUUUUGGACAAUGGGCGCAAGCCUGAUCCAGCAAUGCCGCGUGCAGGAAGAAGGCCUUCGGGUUGUAAACUGCUUUUGUACGGAACGAAACGGCUCUGGUUAAUACCCGGGGCUAAUGACGGUACCGUAAGAAUAAGCACCGGCUAACUACGUG
RNAcentral lists this ribosomal RNA (482 nucleotides) under uncultured bacterium. RNAcentral describes it as "partial 16S ribosomal RNA". It matches the Rfam family "Bacterial small subunit ribosomal RNA", at positions 30 to 507 of the family's 1533-position model. The record is from RNAcentral.